RNAcentral lists this ribosomal RNA (478 nucleotides) under uncultured bacterium. RNAcentral's name for it is "partial 16S ribosomal RNA". It matches the Rfam family "Bacterial small subunit ribosomal RNA", at positions 28 to 523 of the family's 1533-position model. The record is from RNAcentral.
GACGAACGCUGGCGGCGUGCUUAACACAUGCAAGUCGAACGGUAAGGCCCUUCGGGGUACACGAGUGGCGAACGGGUGAGUAACACGUGGGUGAUCUGCCCCGCACUUCGGGAUAAGCCUGGGAAACUGGGUCUAAUACCGGAUAGGACCACUGCCCGCAUGGGUGGUGGUGGAAAGCUUUUGCGGUGGGGGAUGGGCGCGCGGCCUAUCCGCUUGUUGGUGGGGUGAUGGCCUACCAAGGCGACGACGGGUAGCCGGCCUGGGAGGGUGACCGGCGACAGUGGGACGGAGAUACGGCCCAGACUCCUACGGGAGGCAGCAGUGGGGAAUAUUGCACAAUGGGCGCAAGCCUGAUGCAGCGACGCCGCGUGAGGGAUGACGGCCUUCGGGUUGUAAACCUCUUUCAGCACCGACGAAGCGCAAGUGACGGUAGGUGCAGAAGAAGGACCGGCCAACUACGUGCCAGCGGCCGCGGUAA